UGAGUUCAUUUAUUUUAAACCACGGUUUAUAUUAUGAAUUAUUUACCAUUUUCAAUAACCUAGAUGAUUUAACUAUGAAAAAACCUGAUUAAAAUGUAUAUAAAGGCUGUAGUAGGUGAAGGAGAUGCAAAGAUGACUGUGGAGCUUAAAUAAACUUGAACAAUUUCUAGUUUGCAUCAAGAUUUACUAAGGUAGUUACGCACCUAAAAACAUCAGGAAGAUUUGCAUGUUGUAACAUAACUGACUUAGCUGGCAUUAGUUAUAUAAAAUCAAUUGGAGCCAUUUUUCUUUUGUGGGAAGGAAAGUUGGUUGUUCAGUAGUUUGCUGUUACAAGUUAUUAUGCAUACCAAACAAAAUUCCUGUUUUGUUUUAUGCAGACCCUCACAGUGGUUCUUAUAAACUUUCAAGAGUAACUAAUAAAUCGUAAGGCUAUAAGAGGAUGAUCUGCAGUUUUAAAACGUUCUUUGUGUUGUAACAUUUGAGAUUACAGGGAUUAUUUUGUUCCUAACUAUGAUUUUUUUCUCUUAGUUCAAUACCGUAAUUAAUUUUAAUUAUGUUGUGUGUGGUAUCUCUUUAAGAGCAUCCCAUUAUCACUAAAGCACUCCGGUCAGGUCUUACUACAUCUGUGCAGGUUGGAAGAAUCACCUGAGAUACCAGUUACUCCUAAAAAUGAAGUAACUUCAACACCUGUACCAUAUUGUGCAGAUGAAGCAGUAGGUGUCACUAAACAUCUUAAAAAUGGUUUCAGGCAGCAGAAUGAGCAUUGAGGGGCUCAAAGGGGAUAUUUUAUUUCAGAAGUGAAGAGGUGAAAUCUAACAGGAUUUGCUUAAUUCUAGAAAAUAACCAUUUCUGUGAAAGAAGAUGGGAAAACCUUCUGAAGCAGAGGAAUAGGAAAAGAGAAAACUUCAGAAUUAAGUAACACUGAGCAAUUGCAAAUCAGUUAAUUGGAAUGGAAUUUGUUUUCAAUUUCCCUAUUGUUUCUUCUCUGCAGAAACCUCAGCCCCAUUUCAUCAAGAUGCAAAGGAGUGUAUUACAUACUGCUUCUCAGCUGGCCCAUGGGAUGUGUUUGUUGUUUCCUCGCACUGGUGCCUUUCAUGGCUUAAAAGGACCAUCGGUGGCAUCUCAUGUUGGAUGCAGAGUGAAUUUGGCACUGGACCCUCCUAAACGAUGUCUUCAUGCAGGUGCAGCACUCUUUGCCUCAAAGAGCAGCACUGUUUCAUCACAGCCAGCAGACACUCCUAGGAAAGCACCAGAAGAGAGAGAAGCUUUGACUUCAGCCACUGAAGUACCCAAGCAGAGCCCUGUAGAGUCAGAUGCUUCAGAUCCUGAUCCGUUACAAGACAAAUCAAUUAGCCUUGUUCAAAGAUUCAAGAAAACUUUUAAACAGUAUGGAAAAGUCAUGAUUCCCGUUCAUCUUGUGACUUCCACUGUGUGGUUUGGAACCUUUUACUAUGCAGCCAUGAAAGGAGUGAAUGUUGUUCCAUUCCUAGAGUUGAUUGGCUUACCAGACAGGAUAGUAGACAUCCUGAAAAAUUCCCAGAGUGGAAAUGCACUAACUGCAUACGCACUGUAUAAAAUUGCAACUCCUGCCAGAUAUACUGUGACUCUGGGAGGAACAUCCUUCACUGUUAAAUAUCUGCGUAAGAAUGGCUACAUGUCCACACCACCACCAGUAAAGGAAUAUCUACAAGAUAGGAUGGAGGAAACAAAGGAUAAAAUCACAGAGAAAAUGGAGGAAACAAAGGAUAAAAUCACGGGGAAAAUGGAGGAAACAAAGGAUAAAAUCACGGAAAAGAUUCAAGAAACCAAAGAUAAAGUUUCGUUUAAAAAAAUAAAGGACUAAGAGAUGCUUAAUUUUUGGAGAUCUCUAACUUAGCACUUUAACCUUUUUUGAGGCAGGAGAUACAAAGUGCACUUCUGACCUUUCUUGAGUUUUUUUUGUUGUUUUGGUUUUUUGUCUGCAGACUACAGCUUCACUGUGGAUAUAGAAUUAUGUAUAUUCUUGAAGGCUGAAGUUUCCUGGGAGAGAUAAAUUGUGACAAAAUUUCAAUUAACAGAAGCAAAAAUAAGUUUCACAUGAGAAGUUCACAUCCAGUGGUAAUAGUGUCAACAAUUACAUCUCAACCCUCCCCCCCCUUUUUUUCUUUUUUCAAAAUGAAGAUGAUUUCAUAUUAAAGCCACUGCUUUACUCCUCCAUCUUAGUGCACAGCCAUUAUCCCAUCGGACUGAACCUUCCGAUAAGUGAGAAUGGAGAUGUCUCUACUGGAGAAGAACACUUAUUUUGUAUUUCUAAGUGUAAUCUCAGACCUCCUUAAUCGUGAUCAUCUCUCGACGUGGAGACAGACCAUUGUCACUGAUACUGCACAUGAAGAAAAGAACGGAUUAGUUACUCACUGUAAAUGAAUUCAUAACAGCUACAUGGACUUCAGCUGAUCUGUGACAGUUCACAGUUUGGGACGGCUACAAACCUUUCUUGGAAAGUGCAUCUUUUCAGAAAUCUCAACUGCAAACUAUAGGAAGAUGAGUUAAUCACAACAGCCAUACUGUCAACUAUACUGUCUUUUUCUAAAGUUGAUUUUCAGUAGGAAGUUAUUACAAUGAAUCAAUUAUUGUAUAUUAAAAACUUUUUAGUUUUUUAUUAUGUUGAAGUUUACAAAACUGUUCUAUUAUUUCAUGGUAGUCCUAUAGCAACAAAAAAAAGAAUUCAGAAGAGAGGUUUACUCAAAUAAUAGGUAUACUAAUGGAACUUUUUAAAUACAUGCAAAGUUAGAGUUAAAUCCCAAAGUUUCUUUUCCUAUCCAAGAAUCUCUUGGAUGUCUGUAGUACAGUUUAGCUUUCCUGAGACAGUGAUUGCAGUCUAGCAGAAAACUCUACGUUUUCUUACAUCAAGCAAAUACUUGUUUGUACUUGAAAUGCUGAAAGGACUAAAGGUGAAACUGCUCUAUUUGACUAAACUGGCGAGCUUCUCUCUUAGUUCUACUCAAAUUUUAGGCUGAACUGAGUGGAUUUUUUUCCUGUUUCUGUAAUGGCCCUCACUUCCUAGUAAAUCUCUGCAUGUGCAUUUUGCUUAAAGAUGUUGGGGUUUUUUUGUGGGCUUGGUUUUUUUUGUUUGGUUGUUGGGUUUUUUUGUUGUUUUUGUUUUUGCAGGGAGAUAGAUAAGUAAAGCAGCAGAGUUGGACCCUAAGCAUUGUAACUAAGAUAAAAGAAAAUAACUGAUAAAGUAUCAUUUCUACCCCACUCUUUUACUUUGUCAGCGAAGUCACCAAGAACCUGUCCAUUUUUAAGUCCGUUGAACUUCAUUAACUCAAUUGUGCAGGAUUGAUUGCGUACUUCUCUGCCUCUGUCCAUGUGUCAAAAUAGUAACUGCAAUCUAAUGCUUACCUCACAGGGCUGUUGUGAGGAAUAAUCAUUGUAUAUUCAGUGUCCUGAAGAUGUAAAGUGCCACAUUUCUGACAAAUACUAUUAAAAAGGAAUUCUCUCUAACUGCAAGCUCUUGAGAGUGUUGAGCGAUCCUGUAGAGCAUUACACUGACUUUGCUGCUGAUAAGCAUGAAUGUGAGGGUUCUGAGUGGCUGCUGGAGCAGGAGUUGGAAAUGAAGUUGUAUCAAGCAGGAUCCACAGCAGCAAACAAGGAGGACCUGGAUCUGAAGUUAAAGCCUGAGAUGAGGCGGGAGCCAGAGUGGUGCCAGAGCCAUAGUGGCAGCCCAAAAAGCAGCCAGAGUUCUAGUGGCCCAUGGUGAGACUGAAGGCAUUGCCCAAAUAAAGGCUCGAGGCAAGUUCAAGCCAAAAUCAUAACCUGACAAGUUUCCAGAACUGAAAUAGCAGCCUGAGCAAGAUCUAGGGGUGAACUCAUAUCCCAAAUAUACCUGAGCAGAAUCAGAGGCCUGUGUAAGAUUCAGGGAAGUCAUAGCUCAAGAUGGAGUCAGAACAGAAGUUGUGAGCCAAGCACAGGCCAGAGCCAAAGAUGGGACCAAAGCCAAAGUCACUUCCCGAGAGGGAAUAGCAGCUGGAGCCACAGCACCCACUAUUGGGCCAGGGCAAAAGUCAAAGCUGGAAAUGAAGCCACAGAUAUGGGGCCGAAGUUUGUAACUGAAGUUGCUACCAGGCCUAGCCAAAGCUGCACAGUGAGCUUGUUGCUAAAGUAGCAACCCAGUGUCAGGCUAGACCUGAAAGACGGAGGUCCAAGGUGGUGGCUGGAGCUUAAAUCAUGGCCUACAACUGGGAUGGGGCUGAAGUUACAGGCAGAAGUGGGGUCAGACCUGAAGUCUUGCACCGAGUGUCACAGUCUGGUGACACAGUGACAAAGUAGAGCCCAAUAUCAGACCAGGCUGGAUCGGAAGAAGCAGCCAAAACAUGGACCAGAUGUGCAGUAGCCUCCUGGGCAGAAGUUGCAGCCCAAUAGCAGGCUAGAGGUGAAGCAGCUGCCUAAGAUGAUACUGGAGGCACCGUAAGAGCCCAGACAGGAAACAGUGACAGAGACAGGAGGACCCAAUCCAGACAGGACUUCAAGCUGUGCCCCAAGCAAUGUUCGAAGGCAAAGUCUCAGCUGAAGGGAGGACUGGAGCCAAAACAGUCAAACAAGACCAGAAUGGGGUGGGUCCUGAAGUCACAGUCCAUGAGGCUGGGGCAGAAGCCAAGGAAGACCAAGCAAGGGCCAGAGUAGACGUGAGUCCCUCCAGAGAGUGAAGCCAAAGUCACAAUCCAGUAUAGAGGUAGAGCCAAAGUCACAGUCUAAGUGGUAACCCAGUAUCAGGCCAGAGCAAAAGUCAUGGCUUUGGAUGAGGAAGAACCAAAGUCACUGCAAAGACAGAGGCCAAAGCUGCAUUAGCUUUCUGAGCAGGGACUGGGAUAAACAUUAUGGCCUGAUACCAGAUUGAAGCCGAAGUAGCAGCCCAAGAUAGUACCAGAGUUGAAUUUACAGCCCCAGAUGGAGCUGAAGCCACAAUCAUAAUAUAAGACAGGGCUAAACCUGAAACUAAGACAGCACUGAAGUGAAAGACAAUCAAAUCAUGGCCCACAGCUGCACCAGAGUCACAGCUGUAGUCCAUGAUGGGGCUGCAGCUGACAUGGCAGCUGAAAGUAGAAUUUGCUGCAAUGUUAUGACCCAAGGAGGGAAUUAAGCUAAAGAAGCGGUCCAAGAUCGGGCUGAAGUAAAAUUUGCAGCCCCAGAUGGGGUGAGAGAAAAAGUCACAGCCCAAAUAAAGGCUGGAGCUUGAAGAGGAGCUGACACCCACAGACCACUUGGGAUGGGAUUUCCCACUGGCAGGUAUCAAGCACACCCAUAUCCCUGUCCUGGGCUGAGCUGUGAGUCAGACCCAGGAGAACUCGCCACACAGUCCUUGUGGGUACCCUCUGGCUCUUCAUGGAUCCUGCUGGCUUUUCUGGCCAUAAAUACGUGGUUCCAUACCCUUCAAUCACAGCAUAAGGGCUAGAUGGGGAAGCACCUAUGCCACAGCCACUGAGAAACUCUCCAAUGGCCUGAGAAUCCUAAAACCAUAAGAUAUCCUGAGUUGGAAGGUUAGAGGGUACAGCUGGCCUUGGGGCUGCCAGAGCACACUGCGGACUUGUUCACCUUGCCAUCAACCACAACACCUAGGACCCAGAGGGUCUGUAGCCAUUGGAGAAAAUAUUUGAGAGAUUUCCCCUCCCUUGCCUUGGAGAACAGGGUUGGAGCUGCUGGAGGGGCACUCAGUGGUGGCAGAGAAAGUCCCUGGCCCCUGGCAGCACGCUGCAAUCCAGCAGGGCACCUGCCACGUCAUCUCCUGGGUCACUGCUGUCCAUGUGACCAUCCUCAUCAAAACACAUUUCUGAUUGUGUUCCUCAUGGGUGUCAGCUUGGAGCACUGAGCUGCAUUUGUCCUUAUUCAUCACUUACCGUCAGCAACAAUAAUAAUUAGAGAGCUGUAAUUAUCCCCUGGCAGUUAUCUGGCUAUUUUGAUGAAGAUGAUCUUCUAAGUAGAAAGAAUACAUCUUGAUUUCAUAAGGCCACAGGGCAACAUGUAGCAUUAAGUUUGGGUUUGAGUUUAAGCAAUUGACUGGACAACUACAGGGGAGGGAACCCAGGGAAAGAUACACAGGCUUUUUUUGAAGUUUUUUAAAAAAAAAAAAAAAAAGGAAAAAACAAAACGAAAACAAACUAAAUACAACUGGGUAAAGUUUCAUCAAAAAAUGAAAGAGGAGAAUGUUCAGGUUGGAUAUUAGGAAGGCUUUCUGCUCAGAAGGAGAGGUAAAGCACAGGCACAAGUUGUCCAGGAAUGUGGUAGAGUCACCACUCCUAGGGGUGUUCAAGGAAUGGGUGGAUGUGGCACUGAGGGACAUGAUUGGUGGACAAUAUUGGUGGCAAGUGGAUUGCUGACUAGAUCAUAUUAGAGGUCUUUUCCAACAUCAGUGAUUCUGUAAUUACAUGAAAUAUUUCUAACUGCUGCUUUGGCUAGCCAAGUGGCCUAUCUUGUGAAACUGGGGACAGUGGUGGUUGUGCCAGCAUCCAUCCCUAAAGGUGAAGGCCUGAGUCUUUUCCAUUUCCAUAAAGAGCAGACCCAUAUGGGAAAACAGAUGUUCCCACAAUAUCCCAUGUCCCAGUCAGAAGUAACUGACAAGCUGUGUGGCAAUUGCUAUGAGUUGUAGCCCAGAGCGGCUCUCCACUUCUUCAGUGUUAUUGUCAGAUGGUGAUUUUAGUCUGCUCAGUAUCAUUUACCUGUUGGGGUAUAGUUUUAGUUGAGAUGAAAGUGUCCAUUUCCCCUGGCAUAUGGCUUGAACCAGUGUGCAUGUUUUCUUAUCUGCAAGAUAGUAUUGGUGGAACAUGAAGCAUAAUCUAAAAAGGUGAGAGGACUCGCACAGAGCAGCUGAUGCAAUCACUCAGCCAUACAGCUUUCAACGUGCACCAGUGCACCUCUCACUGAGAAGCUGCAGCAGCUAAUGCUGCACCACUGACCCUCUAAAACACACACAGCUGGACUGCAAAGCCAAAGGGGGCCAAAGUGGCCAGAAGAGCAGUUUUGCAGUGGCCAGCCGAGCCCUACCCGUCAGGUUUCUCCAGAGGGAAAGACACCAGAUCAUUGGCUUUUUCAGGCAGCUGUCAAGUUUGCAGCUGGAAACAAAUUGGAAAGCACUUACUUAGACUCCUAACCCAAUUGUAGGAAAAUAAACAGCUCCUAUACAUUCAGCUGUUGCCAUAAACCCUUCUGAAAGGGUAUGAAAAUGCGUUAAUGCUUUCGAUUUGGCUUAUAUGGCUUCUUCACCAAGUGAAGCCAACUAGGGCAAGCUUGGCUCAGCAUAUGAAAGACUCAGAGACUGCUAACAUAAUUGCACAUGUAUGCCUAUGCAGGGAGACAUGUGAUAAACUGUAACAUUCUGAGAGCUUUGAGGACAAAACUAGUUUGUUGGUUUUUUUUUUCCUCUGGGAGUUUCUUGCUGUCUAGGGUUAAAUGUAGGUCAAGCUGUCUGAGCCAUGUCUGUGGCACACAGAGUGGGAUUAAAUCGGAAUUUUUCCACUCAGCUCCACUGUCAAUCACUGUAAUGUCUGCAAAUGUUAAAUUAAUCUGGAGUGAGCUGGCAAUGGCAUUGAAGGGAGCUUCUUGGGCUCAAGGGUGACAUUUUGGCCUCCGUGGAAAAAUUGCCUUCUCUCUCCAGGCAAAGGGUGGCUGCGUUCCGACAGCUUUUUUUAAACCCUGAAAUUACCAGCGAAACCCAGAGAGAUGAUAGCUCUGUACAAGGCAAAAGCACACAGAUGGCAGAAGGAGCGGGGAGAGAGAGCACCUGACUGCAGGUGGGACUGCAAGCGAUGGAGGUGGGGAGAUGGCUCUGCACUGUGUGCUGCCCUGUCCCUCUCCAUGCAUCUUUAAAGCAGCAUUAGCACCUCUGUGCAAAGCUCUUUGUAGCAGAAGCCUGUUACUGAGUACAGAGUAUUUUGCAGUAAGGAUCUGCUGGUUUGCAGGUGUUACAAAGGACAGUGAGCAUUCAGCAUUGCCACUCCACAUGCAGUCCGUAAAUCCUCUGGCAUCCAGCAUGUUGCCUUUAUCACAGUGUGAGUCCAGCACUGCUGUGCAUCCCAGAGUCCUUCCAACUUAAUUAAUAUCUAAUGGUGAUUUGUAGCACCCAAGGUAAGCAGAAGCAGGCAGUUAACCAGCACUAAGUACAGUAGGUGAUUUCUCAAAUGCUAAGGAAUGUUCUGGGAGUAACUGAUGUUGUGAACUGUAUGGGAUACUGAGAAACGUAACUCGUCACUUUGACUACAUGGAAAAGAAUGGGCUAGCUCAGCUCUAACCUCUGCUCUCAGGAGUUAUCAUUUCAUACUCUGCCCAGGAAAAAAAAAAAAAAAAGUAGAAAACAAGCCAAAAAAGAAAAAAUCCUUCAAGUUUUUAUUCUUUCCCAGUGCUGGAGUUGUGUGGAAGUGGCACAAUGCACGUGGAACAAAAGCUGGGCAUCACUGCAGCAGAAGCAAGUGAUGAGAACUGGAUUCAGCAGUGAGGUUUUUAAAAUGUGCAUUUUAAUUAGAACUCAUUUAAAGCACGACCGAUCAAAACAGUGAUAAUGAGAGAAGCCUAAUUAAUUUUUGUCUAAGCAACCGAGCCUCAUUAUAGAGCGGUCUUGGGGAAGAAAAGGGUUUGGAGUGGUACAACCAGGGUGUUUGUAAUGAGAGGCAAUACUGCGGGGAGCCUGGAAGCCAGACCAAAAGGUUUCAUAGGACUGCAGCAGCCACUGUAUUAAUCUUUAAACAGGAAAAGUAACCCUACUGAGAUGAGACAUCCCAUUUAUAGCCAAGUUCUGAGCUGCAACCAUUGGCAAAGAUAUUAAAACACAAUCAAAGAGAAUGGCAUAUUAUAAAACAAAUAUAAAUACAAUUAAAACCAGAUUAAGUAAAAGAUCAAAGCAGUCUCAAAAAAGCAGUUUCCAGGGAGUUCAGGGUUCAGACAGCAGAGGAGGAGCAGACGCUCAGAGGUCUGGAGCGCUUCUAAGCGCUGAGGCCCCAGCUACUUUCUAAGCACCAAGGAAGAAUUAAAAUGCUGUGGAGGGGGAGAUGCCAACUCUGGGUGGUUAUAUGGAAAGAGAACUGUUACACUUCUAAAUGGUGAUAGCAGAAAGUGCUGCAGCAUUUAAAUAAGGAAGCCAUUUGUAGAGAACAGCAGAAAGCUCCUGUCCAAAGGCAGCCCAAGGGCUGCUCCUGAAGGAGUGUGUCAGAAGUGAGCUGGUGCAUAAUCAAUGGAUAUUAAGAUGUUAUAAGAGAGUUAGGCAAAAUAGACUAGGAUAAUAAGGAGAAUAAAUGGAAGGCUUACCUGUAUGUUAGGCUCACCUACAGAAAGCACCAGAAGAAGGGACCUCCAGACAAGAUCCUUCCCCACUGGUAGCCAGCUCUUAAAUAGGUCUAGGAGAGGUGCAGCCAGGCGCCACCCCUUCCGGCAGCACAGCUGAAUUGCCUUCACCUGUGCUCCUCUGGCUGACUCAUGGUUCUCCUCAGGUGAUCAGAGGUUCAGGCCGUGACUCAGCAGUUCCCAUGCAGCUGGGGAUGCACAGCCCCCUCAGCAGCCUCUUCUCCACACACACUGCCCCCUGCUUUGCAGCACCACCUCCCUCUAGGCAUCACUCUCCAAAAGGAAUCAGCAAGCACAGACCCGAGUACAAAACGUAGCCCAAGACAAGGAUUACAUUAACAGUCAUGCUACAUGAAGCAUCACGUUAUACUUCAACACAAAUAGAAGUUAACUGCUCACUUCUUAUGUUGUUAAGCAUUCCAAUAGUGAAGUGAGAGGCACCACCUGUUGACAGUUGAAUUUACCUUCUAUUACCAAGGAUUUGUGCUUUUCCCCUGCAUGAACCAUAUCCUGUAUUUUUGCUUUUCAGUCAGUUUCUUCAGCUUCAUGGUUGGGCACUGCCCACCACUUUCUGGGCCAGCACUGCCCUGCCAGGGGCAGCCACGACACUGGGUGCCUGCAAGGGGAUCAAGGCGGUGUUCCUAGCCCAUGUUUCAAGGACUGAAUCCCCCCUCCGACUCCUUAAUGAUCAGCUACCAGCUUGAGAGCAGAAAAGCAAGGACAAAAAAGGACAAGCGUUUGUUUUACAGAAUGUCACGCUGGUGUUUCAUCCCCUUUUCCCCCACUUCACAAAGAAAUUCAAUAGGAGACAAAUGCAUUUCAUGGUUUUUAAUAAUUCUGUGCUAUGGUUAAACCACAGCAUAUUAAGAACAAGCAUAAAAUCUGUAUUUAAAACUAACAACAGCACUUAGAGCAACAUCUUCCUUUAAAAGUAUUGCAAUAACAGACCUUAGGUCUAAAAACUAGGACAUCACCAUUUGCUCAAUUAAAAGAGUCAGAUAUACAACAGUUGAAAUCUUUUCCUUUAUAUAACCGGGAGUUAUGGUGGAAAAUAAGCAACAAAUUAAUUGUGUUAAAAGGAAAAUAAGGUAAAAAAAAAAACCAACAAAACAAAACAACAAAA
Tympanuchus pallidicinctus (lesser prairie-chicken) is the source of this 10429-nucleotide RNA transcript. It is a transcript of the gene named family with sequence similarity 210 member A, with no coding region annotated. The record is from RefSeq and is a predicted model, not a curated record. The transcript has 4 exons. NCBI's taxonomy places the organism in Eukaryota, Metazoa, Chordata, Aves, Galliformes, Phasianidae.